This 488-nucleotide long non-coding RNA is filed under the name Ananas comosus (pineapple). RNAcentral describes it as "long non-coding RNA (ACOM_LNC027271)". The record is from RNAcentral. Lineage: Eukaryota; Viridiplantae; Streptophyta; Magnoliopsida; Poales; Bromeliaceae.
UAAAAAAAAUUUAAAAUAUAACAAUAACAUCAUAUUAUCUAUAUUUUAAUUAAUUAAAUUUAUAUCGAAAGUUUCAACAUUCUUUUCGAAAAUUUAAAUGCUCAUCGAUACGGGUUGUAUUCACCAUAUCGUAUUAUACCAACAAGAUAUCGAUACGAUACAGUUUCCGUGUCGAUGUCAUGAUUUAAAACUCUAUCAUUUUAAAAUUAAUCAUAAGUUUUUUAAUAAAAUUUAAAAUAUUUAAUAAAGAUACAUAAUAAGUAAUUAUAGUAUAUUGUUGCUAAAAAAAAUAAAUACUUCAUGUCAUUUUGUAUCGGCAUAUAUAUAUUUUUUGUGACCGACAUGUAUCGGUACUACUCUGUACGCACCGUACCGUAUCAACAAUUUUAUGUCACGAUCCCGUACCACAAUAUUUAAAUUUUUGAUUCUAUCAUAAUUUUAUUUUUAAAAAAAUUAUUAUAUUUUAUUUUCAAAAUAAAAAAUUUAAU